GCCUCAAUCCUAUGCUAGGUUUGUUGAAGGCCCAAAGGAUCCCUGGUGCGCGGGGCAUCCCGACCUUAUAGCCAAUAGUGCUAGCAGUCUUUUCUCACUGGUCAAAGAUCGAUCCUGUUAGGAUCGGUUGACAUCCACUAUCUCUGGCCCUCUGACGAUCACUUCUCUAGCGAGUGGUGAUCUGCCACCUGACAGACCUCCCCUCAUGAAAGGGAGCCAAAGCCAACAUUACAGGGAGGUUUCCACUCUCUCUUCAUCUCUCACCACUCGCCUUCUACUAUUAUCCCUUUCCGAUUGUGAUUGAUUUAAGCAUAGGAAAGUCCCUUGUCGGAAAAAUCUUCAUUGGUCUCUCCGGCAUGUGGACUUUCCUUGUAGGUAUCCGAAGGCCGCCCCCAGCAUCCUUCGCUUCAUUCUGGCGGCCAUCUCGUCACGCCACCUGCGCCACCUCAUCUUGGCCGGAGAGGAGCAGCAACAGAUGGAUUGGAUAGUUGAAAAAUAUUCUUGUGUCAAGCAACAUUCCAGUCAAUGUGAAUGGAGAAAUAAAAAAUUUGAUCUUACACAGAAGAGGUCUAUGCAAGGGGACCCUCUCUGUAUUCCUUUUCAUUCUUGUAGUGCACCCACUCUGUAGAAUAUUAAAUGUCGC
Molecule: long non-coding RNA, 643 nt
Filed under: Elaeis guineensis (African oil palm)
Lineage: Eukaryota; Viridiplantae; Streptophyta; Magnoliopsida; Arecales; Arecaceae
Description: long non-coding RNA (EGUI_LNC013034)
Source: RNAcentral